AUCAACUUUCGAUGGUAGGAUAGAGGCCUACCAUGGUGUUAACGGGUAACGGGGUGUUAGGGCACGACACCGGAGAGGGAGCCUGAGAAACGGCUACCACAUCCAAGGAUGGCAGCAGGCGCGCAAAUUACCCAAUCCCGACACGGGGAGGUAGUGACAAUAAAUAACAAUACGGGGUCCUUUCGGGUUUCGUAAUUGGAAUGAGUACAAUUUAAAUCUCUUAACGAGGAACAAUUGGAGGGCAAGUCUGGUGCCAGCAGCCGCGGUAAUUCCAGCUCCAAUAGCGUAUAUUAAAGUUGUUGCAGUUAAAAAGCUCGUAGUUGAAUUUCGGGACUAGUACGCUGGUCGUGCCUUCGGUAUGUACUGGUGUUACUGAUUCCUACCUUCUGACGAACCGUCAUGUCAUUAAUUUGGUGUGGCGGGGAAUCAGGACUGUUACUUUGAAAAAAUUAGAGUGUUUAAAGCAGGCUCGCGCUUGAAUACAUUAGCAUGGAAUAAUGAAAUAGGACGUUCGAUCCUAUUUUGUUGGUUUCUAGGAUUGACGUAAUGAUUAAUAGGGAUAGUUGGGGGCAUUAGUAUUCAAUUGUCAGAGGUGAAAUUCUUGGAUUUAUUGAAGACUAACUACUGCGAAAGCAUUUGCCAAGGAUGUUUUCAUUAAUCAAGAACGAAAGUUAGGGGAUCGAAGACGAUCAGAUACCGUCGUAGUCUUAACCAUAAACUAUGCCGACUAGGGAUCGGAUGAUGUUAUUUUUAAUGACUCAUUCGGCGCCUUACGGGAAACCAAAGUGUUUGGGUUC
This 797-nucleotide ribosomal RNA is filed under the name uncultured Glomeromycotina. RNAcentral's name for it is "SSU rRNA". It matches the Rfam family "Eukaryotic small subunit ribosomal RNA", at positions 314 to 1114 of the family's 1831-position model. Lineage: Eukaryota; Fungi; Glomeromycota. The record is from RNAcentral.